Molecule: non-coding RNA, 240 nt
Organism: Neolamprologus brichardi
Lineage: Eukaryota; Metazoa; Chordata; Actinopteri; Cichliformes; Cichlidae
Source: RefSeq, a predicted model, not a curated record
AUGAAGUUAUAUUUGGGGAGUUCUCCUGGCCGAAGAAUGUCAAGACCAACUACAUAAUCUCGGGUUCUGGUAAAGGGGGGCAGCCCAAAGAGUACUAUACCUUGGACUCUAUCUUGUUCUUUCUCAACAAUGUGCACCUGCCGCAUCCAUCCUAUGUGCAAAGAGCUGCAACAGAGAACAUCCGUGCUGUCAGACGACCUGAUCGAAAGGGCUUGCGUACAUAUCUUAAUGGCGAGAGCU